AAUUAUACACACAUUGAGCAACUAUACACACAUUCAGUGAUGCCACAGCAACAUUUAGGUCAUUUCUCUUUUAAGAUUUCUGCAACACACCAAACAUGGAUGACAAGAGUGAAGGAUAAGGUUAUGGCUCAUCAAUUUUAAGUUUACCUGUGCCUGCAGUGCAACCCUCUCUGGUCCCGGAUGUCUACAGGUUUCGGACUCAUGCCUCAAGGUUUCUGCGCUUGCAUCUCUUCUCUGGAUUUGUUGAUCUUUCCUGGAUUCAUUCUGGUUAUCAAUCUUUUCACCUGGCCUUUGACUAUGCUCAUCUGUCAGUCAUGUACAGAGCCCAAUUUUGUUCAAUAAAUGUUCUGAACUGCCUUUGCUGUUUAUUUUUUAUUUAUUAAACAUUUUAUAUUUGCUGUCACAUAUUACAUGCUGUUAUAAAUGCUGUAUAAUAUGCUAUCACAUAAAUUACAUGCUAUUAUAAUAUUAUACUGUAGUAAUGAUCAAGUUCGUCAGGGAAGGAAGAGGACAAGGGUCGGCUUUGACUGCUGACUGAGUUUUUAUUUCACCAAGAAAAAUAAACAAACAAAAGUCUGUGCAACGCACAAUCAAACAAUCCACAUCUACAGACGGGCUUCACUCCAGCAUUGAUCUCCUGAUAAGCUCCAGCAGUCUCAGUCAGCAGUCCCUCUCUCUCUCACACACUCCUGCUUCUCCUGGUGUUUUA
Molecule: long non-coding RNA, 709 nt
Organism: Megalobrama amblycephala (Wuchang bream)
Lineage: Eukaryota; Metazoa; Chordata; Actinopteri; Cypriniformes; Xenocyprididae
Exons: 3
Source: RefSeq, a predicted model, not a curated record